UGCAAGUCGAACGGUACAUAAGGUGCUUGCACUUUGAUGACGAGUGGCGCACGGGUGCGUAACGCGUAUAGAACCUACCCUGUACAGGGGGAUAGCCCAGAGAAAUUUGGAUUAAUACCCCGUAGUAACUACUGAUGGCAUCAUUAGUAGUUUAAAGUUUUCGGAUGGUACAGGAUGGCUAUGCGUCCUAUUAGUUAGAUGGUGAGGUAACGGCUCACCAUGGCAGCGAUAGGUAGGGGCCCUGGGAGGGGGAUCCCCCACACUGGUACUGAGACACGGACCAGACUCCUACGGGAGGCAGCAGUGAGGAAUAUUGGACAAUGGGCAGAAGCCUGAUCCAGCCAUGCCGCGUGCAGGAAGACGGCCCUAUGGGUUGUAAACUGCUUUUAUACGGGAAGAAUAAGGGACACGUGUGUCCUGGUGACGGUACCGUAAGAAUAAGGACCGGCUAACUCCGUGCCAGCAGCCGCGGUAAUACG
This 479-nucleotide ribosomal RNA is filed under the name uncultured bacterium. RNAcentral describes it as "bacterial SSU rRNA". It matches the Rfam family "Bacterial small subunit ribosomal RNA", at positions 56 to 527 of the family's 1533-position model. The record is from RNAcentral.